This 79-nucleotide small nucleolar RNA is filed under the name Zea mays. RNAcentral's name for it is "Small nucleolar RNA snoR60". It matches the Rfam family "Small nucleolar RNA snoR60". Rfam says of the family: snoR60 is a member of the C/D class of snoRNA which contain the C (UGAUGA) and D (CUGA) box motifs. The record is from Rfam by way of RNAcentral. Lineage: Eukaryota; Viridiplantae; Streptophyta; Magnoliopsida; Poales; Poaceae.
CUGUAAAUGAUGAUCUUAAUUACUCGGAUUCUCCUUCAAGAGAUCUAGAUGGGUGAUGCACAUACGAGUUUCUAAUGCG